CCUACGGGUGGCUGCAGUAGGGAAUAUUGGACAAUGGGCGAAAGCCUGAUCCAGCCAUGCCGCGUGAUAGAUGAAGGCCCUCUGGGUUGUAAAUAUCUUUUAUCUGGGAAGAAACAAUCUUAUUCUUAAGAUCUUGCCGGUACCAGAGGAAUAAGCACCGGCUAACUCCGUGCCAGCAGCCGCGGUAAUCCGGAGGGUGAAAGCGUUAUCCGGAUUCACUGGUGCUAAGGGGGGCUGAUAAGUCAGGGUUGAAAGCUCCGAGCUUAACUUGGAAACUGCCAUUGAUACUGCCAGUCUUGAAUGUCGUAGAGGUAAGCGGAAUGUUGCAUGUAGCGGUGAAAUGCUUAGAUAUGUUACAGAACACCAAUUGCGAAGGCAGCUUACUAUGCGAUGAUUGACGCUGAGGCACGAAAGCGUGGGGAGCAAACAGGAUUAGAUACCCGAGUAGUC
This 450-nucleotide ribosomal RNA is filed under the name uncultured bacterium. RNAcentral describes it as "partial 16S ribosomal RNA". It matches the Rfam family "Bacterial small subunit ribosomal RNA", at positions 338 to 795 of the family's 1533-position model. The record is from RNAcentral.